AUUGAACGCUGGCGGCAUGCUUUACACAUGCAAGUCGAGCGGCAGCGCGGGGGCAACCCUGGCGGCGAGCGGCGAACGGGUGAGUAAUGCAUCGGAACGUAUCCUGUAGUGGGGAAUAACUCACCGAAAGGUGAGCUAAUACCGCAUAAGCUCUGAGGAGGAAAGCGGGGGACCGAAAGGCCUCGCGCUGCAGGAGCGGCCGAUGUCCGAUUAGCUAGUUGGUGAGGUAAAGGCUCACCAAGGCGACGAUCGGUAGCUGGUCUGAGAGGAUGAUCAGCCACACUGGGACUGAGACACGGCCCAGACUCCUACGGGAGGCAGCAGUGGGGAAUUUUGGACAAUGGGGGAAACCCUGAUCCAGCCAUGCCGCGUGAGUGAAGAAGGCCUCGG
Molecule: ribosomal RNA, 390 nt
Filed under: uncultured bacterium
Lineage: Bacteria
Description: bacterial SSU rRNA
Rfam family: Bacterial small subunit ribosomal RNA
Source: RNAcentral